RNAcentral lists this ribosomal RNA (1338 nucleotides) under Triticum aestivum (bread wheat). Its description in RNAcentral is "partial small subunit ribosomal RNA". The record is from RNAcentral. Lineage: Eukaryota; Viridiplantae; Streptophyta; Magnoliopsida; Poales; Poaceae.
AUGGAAAAGCAAAACAAAAUGUUGGCAAAACCGAAAAGGGACUAUGCAAUUGGAAGAAUCUACUAUGCACAUCCCGCAAGUGGCGAGAGAUAUCAUAUGAGGAUGCUUCUAAACACCAAGAAAGGAUGCACAUCAUUUGAGGACAUUAGGACCGUUGAUGGAGUCAUUCACCCAACAUACAAAUCAGCAUGCCAAGCCCUCGGAUUUCUUGAUGAUGACACCGAGUGGAUUGACUGUAUCAAUGAAGCAUCAAGUUGGGCAUCCAGAACACAACUACGUCAGUUAUUCACCACCAUAUUGUCCCAUUGCGAAGUCACAAACCCAAAGGUAUUGUGGGAUUCAACAUGGGAGGCGUUGUGUGAAGAUAUGCAAUACAAAAGAAGGACUAUUCUAAACUUUCCAACACUUCGGCUUACAAACACACAGAAGAAAGCGUAUGGUCUGAUUGAGAUAGAAAAACUGAUGAGGCAAGUAGGAAAGUCACUAAAGGACUAUCCAGACAUAGAACUACCAAAUGCCGCAGAGCUAGAAGAACUUGGGAACAGACUAAUAAACGAAGAGGUCAACUACGACAUGGACAAACUCAAGGAUGAGCACAAAAUCAUACUAAACAAUCUUAACCAAGACCAGAAAAAGGCCUAUGAUGCAAUAAUGGAGUCAGUCGACAAAGGCCUAGGAAAGCAGAUAUUUGUCGAAGGCUACGGUGGCACAGGAAAAACCUAUCUAUGGAAAGCAAUAACGACAAAGCUAAGAUCAGAGGGGAAGAUAGUACUUGCAGUAGCAUCAUGUGGGAUUGCAGCGUUGCUUCUCCAAGGUGGAAGAACAGCACACUCAAGGUUCCGUAUUCCACUUAAUAUCACUGAAGAAUCAACGUGUGAAAUAAAACAAGGCUCGCAUUUGGCUGAACUGCUAAAGAAGACCUCACUUAUAUUGUGGGACGAGGCUCCUAUGGCAAACAAACACUGCUUCGAGGCACUAGACAAAAGCCUUAGAGAUAUUCUAAGGUUCACUAAUGAAAACAGCGAUGAAAAGCCAUUUGGUGGAAUGAUAGUUAUACUAGGAGGCGACUUCAGACAAAUCCUGCCAGUUAUAACCAAAGGAAGGAGAGAGCAGAUAGUAAAUGCUUCAAUCAAAAGGUCAUAUCUGUGGAAACUCUUUGAAAUAUUUGAGUUAACACAGAACAUGCGGCUGAAGUGUUUGUCAGAUGAUCCAAUACAAAAGCAAAAGGUUGCUGAAUUGGCAGAGUGGAUACUACAGAUUGGCGAUGGGAAAACAACAUCAGAUGAAGGAGAGGAUUGGAUAAAAAUACCAAAAGACCUACUGCUAGAGAAAGGAUAA